UACGUAGGGUGCGAGCGUUAAUCGGAAUUACUGGGCGUAAAGCGUGCGCAGGUGGUUGUGUAAGCCAGAUGUGAAAUCCCCGGGCUUAACCUGGGAAUGGCAUUUGGGACUGCACGGCUAGAGUGUGGCAGAGGGGGGUGGAAUUCCGCGUGUAGCAGUGAAAUGCGUAGAGAUGCGGAGGAACACCGAUGGCGAAGGCAGCCCCCUGGGUUAACACUGACACUCAUGCACGAAAGCGUGGGGAGCAAACAGG
Molecule: ribosomal RNA, 253 nt
Filed under: uncultured bacterium
Lineage: Bacteria
Description: partial 16S ribosomal RNA
Rfam family: Bacterial small subunit ribosomal RNA
Source: RNAcentral